CCCUGUCCUAACAGUGGGCAAAAGGACUGGCCUUUAACAGGCCAGACAAGGGGCAGCUCCUGCCAUAUUCCCAGGAAUUCAAACCAACCAAAUUACCUUCAGGGCAUCUCCAACUGCUGAAAAUCUACCUCCCAGGACUCACCAAGCAGUGACUCCAAACCUAUCUGAUAGCAACUGCCCUACUUGCUGAGAGUUAAUUAGGAGUUGUCUUUGUCCUCUUAAUGAGAGGUCAGCUGCUUCUAACAAUCAAGUCCAGAACUGCAGCACAGAGAUCCAGAUUCAGCUGCUCAGCCCGUCCUGCUGCUGGUAUCCCUCAUCUCACUACCAGGGUGGUGAAGAGGAUACAAGCAAGAAUAUACAAUAAGUAUUUUGAGCUCUUUAAGGGAAAAAAAGUAUUCUAUGUAAAAACAAAAUAACACUGGUAUUUGUUGCUGUUGUUCAGAAUUUCAGUCGUUGUCCACCCCUUUGACCACAUUUUGAGUGUUCUUGGUAAAGAUACCAGAGUGGUUUGCCAUUUCAGACUUACAAAUGAAAAUUAAAGUCAUAUCUUACCUAGCCUUGACAUCCUCUGGCCUCCUUUUCUGGAAGUGAAACUAGGAAGCUCUUACCUGAUGAACAGAGAGGUACAUAAGUAGUGGCAAAAACACUGAACUGACUCUAUUUCAAAGCCUACCACUUGUUCGAUAUGUGACUUUAUCACUUCCCUCUACUGGGCCUUAGUUUUCUCACCUAUAAAAUGAGGAAAUUGGACAUACUCGCUUUGAUUUGAGUUAGAUCACCUGGGAAUCAGAUCUUAGUUUUGCCAUGAGUUACCUGGGUGACCAUACUGGGUGACUACAAGCUCUCUAGGUUUUACUUUUCUCUUUACUCUUCUGUAAAAUGAAGACUAGAUGAGCUCCAAGUUGUCUUUCCACUCUAAACUUAUGAUCCAGUGGCCCAAUGAACCAGUGGCCUGGGAUAGGCCACUUAAAUUCUCUUAGCCUCAGUUUCCUCUUUUGGAAAAUGAGUUGGAUUAACUAGGUGAUACAGUAGAUAGAACAUUGGGCUUGAAAUCAGAAAGACUCAUCAAAUCAGGCCUCAGACACUUACUAGCUAUGUGACCCUGGGCAAGUCACUUAACCCAGUUUGCCUCAGUUUCCUCAUCUGUAAAAUGGCAAACCCUUCCAGUAUCUUUGCCAAGAAAAACACGAAAUGGGGUCAUGAAGAGUUAGACACAACUGAAAGCAAU
RNAcentral lists this long non-coding RNA (1228 nucleotides) under Vombatus ursinus (common wombat). RNAcentral's name for it is "lncRNA (ENSVURG00010022408.1)". Lineage: Eukaryota; Metazoa; Chordata; Mammalia; Diprotodontia; Vombatidae. The record is from RNAcentral.